Brassica rapa (field mustard) is the source of this 2786-nucleotide long non-coding RNA. RefSeq lists it as uncharacterized. NCBI's taxonomy places the organism in Eukaryota, Viridiplantae, Streptophyta, Magnoliopsida, Brassicales, Brassicaceae. The record is from RefSeq and is a predicted model, not a curated record.
CAAUUGUUUUUUUUUUCAAAAUAUUAUUCUUAUUAUCAUAGUCAGAUUAUAUAAAAACAUUAAAAAAAAUUAAAGCAAAUUCAUUUUCAUGAAAGGCAUUAAUGGUCGAACAAAUAUAUAAUCUCUAAAUGGGAUAAUAAAAUAGAUAGUAAUUUUUUUUUGAAAACAACAAAUAGUAAAAAUUAAUACUAUUUUAAAUUAAAAUAAAUUAAAAUUUCAAAAGUUUGUUAAACUUUAAAUAAUUUUUAUAUUAUUUGCUCACCCGCCCAUAGGUAUUAUUUGGUACUUAAAUAAAAUAAAAUUUCAAAUGCUGUUCAUGGUACUUAACAAUAUAAAUAUGUACUCUAAAUAAAACAUCAACUUUAUUUUAUGUUUAAAUUUCAAUUAAAUUAACUUUGUUACGACCAUCUGUUUUUUAUUCUACUUUUAUUGCAUCAAUUAGUUACAAUCACUUAUGAUAUUCCACUUUGAAUUAAACAACUUUAAAAUAAAUUAAUACCCUAUAGUCGAUAAUCACUAUCAAAUGGAUCGAAAAAAAAUAUGAUUCUCUUUCAACAUAGUUUCAUUUUUAUAUUUUGAAUAUAUUCUAUUUACUAAGAUCAUAAAAUAAAUUGUAAAUUUAUGUAAAAAUAAAAUAUAUGAACCCGGCGCGUAGCGCCGGAAUGCCACUAGUAUCUAUAUAUAUAUAAAGAUGUUUGCUUCACUCCUAUGCGUCUACGUCGGAUCCAUCAUGGAAAGUCGUUUAUUGUGGGCGUGACACGUGUCUGUCGGUAUAAAACGCAUCACUUCGUUUAUCUGAAAAAUCUGAUGGGCUUAUAUUCAUAUUAUAUGUAUAUUGAUUAUGGACCUUUAUAUUUACCUUUUUUUGGGCUUCGCAUACCCCCAUAGAAAGUUGAACAACGUAUUCUCCUCACAACCUGCGUUUUAUCGUCUUAUUCAAUCUGACUUCGUCAUCUACGGUUAAUCUUAAAACGAAACCAUCACCAUUGAGAACCAUCGCAACCAUCACAGUUAAUGGAGUUUCAUUGAGAACCAUCGCAACUUGCGAGUGUCAUCAUCUCGAGGGGAGAAUUAAAGAAUCCUAAUGAGUGGAACAUUGAAAAAUUAUGUUCACACUUGAAAAAGAACUUGAUAAAUUAAAUUCAAGUAAGAUGAUCCCCAUGAUCGGGUAUAAACAUGCAGUUGUGCAUGUAAUAAAGAAAUAUACAAUCCAGAGGGAUAAGUAUAUGGAUAAUUAGAAAUAUGCUCGCAAGUUUGCUAGAAACAUAUGAUAAGCUGAUGGAAUGAGAUAUGUGAAAUGGAUUACAAUGAAAAGUAGGAUAAUCUAUUUACAAAAUGUCUGCUAGACAUUUUGCAUGAAAUAAUAAAAUCUCAUCUUCCAGCUGAAAAGGCUCCAAUAAGAAGUGUCCUAAAAGGAUGAUAUAUAAAUGUGUCCUAAAAGGAUGAUAUACGAGUCUAUGGCACGCUUGAGACGUGAUAGACCAUUUUGGUUCCAAAAAAUCCUCGAAAAAGAGCAAAUAUAUGAAUAGAGGAUGAAUUUCAUGAUGAGACCGUUGAUAUGGUUAAUAUUACAGUCAUGUACCUCGGUAAAUCAUUGAUGAUGAUAAAGAGAUCUCGAUUAACCAUAUCAGUACGAAUAAAAAUAUGGAACCAAAGAGAAAAUAGAUUGUCGACGAUAAAAUAAAAAAGCGCUAUAUAAAUAAGGAUUACGAAUCUACCUCUAUGUAUGACGGUAGAGUGAAUUGAUUGGCCAUCAAUUCGGUAUAAAGCUCGUUAGAAAAACGAGAGAUUUUUGGACCAAAAGUCCAAGGUAUAGUUCUCCAAAGAAUGAAAUGAAAGAUGACCUUGAGGUAUGAAAAACGGCUUGUUCCGAGGUCACUGGAGAAAAUUUAAAAUAGAUGCAAUAUAUUGAAAUGUGUGGCAGGACAAAAAUGACUUGAGUUGCAUCUUGAUAUUUAAUAGUCCCUGAAGAGUUAAAGAUGCUCUCGGGAAUGUAUCAAACUCUGGAAGAGUUAGAACAAACCGUGUAUAAGGUAUCUUGAACUGGUAACUGGUGAUAUGUUUACGGCACGAUUUGCCGAUUACCAUUUUAAUGAGGAUGAAUUUUCAGCAUUAGGGGGAGGAAUUUGAAAAAUUCCUAAAUAGAUUACAUGGUGUACAUAGUAGUUGUUACACCUUGAUCCCCCUACGGAUCAAAGAGAGCUGGAAAUUCAGAAAAUUGUGCAUUUGCAAACCAGAUACCAGAUGUGUUCACAGAUACGACAUGAUAUACUCGCUGAAAUCUUCGAUCAAGAGUUGAUGUUCCUAAAGAACAAAGUGAUGGUAACAAAAUAAAUGAACCUAGGGUUCAGUUAAAGAGGGGAGACUAGCGGGUUCUCGAGAUAAAAUCCCCAAAAGAAAUUAGCUGAGAAAAGUUGCAAGGUUCCUGAAGAACCUGAUACUGAAAAAUAUCUGAAAGAAGACAUAAGUGGAAAGGUUCCAGAAGAACCUGAUAUUAUAAGAUGUCUGAAAUAAUGCAUAAGUGGAAAGGUUCCAGAAGAACUUGAUACUGAAAAGUGUCUGAAAGAAGGCAUAUAUGAAAAAGGUCAAGAUGAACCAAAUAAAGAUGAUCCAGAUGCGACAUGAUAUACUCCCUGAAAAAAAAAAAAAAAAAAGAUGAUCCAGAUGACGAAAAGGAAACAGAAAAGUAUGAGAUUUCCAUCAACUACACCCUUGAUGAAAAGUUAUAAGAUAAAAGAUGUUGAUAGAAAAUUCUCCUUUUCUGUCCAAAGAGAUCGAUCAUAAAA